This 57-nucleotide transfer RNA is filed under the name Ovis aries (sheep). It matches the Rfam family "tRNA", at positions 8 to 63 of the family's 71-position model. Rfam says of the family: Transfer RNA (tRNA) molecules are approximately 80 nucleotides in length. Their secondary structure includes four short double-helical elements and three loops (D, anti-codon, and T loops). The record is from Rfam by way of RNAcentral. Lineage: Eukaryota; Metazoa; Chordata; Mammalia; Artiodactyla; Bovidae.
UAGCUCAGAUGGUAAAGCGUCUGCCUACAGUGCAGGAGACCCGGGUUCAAUCCCUGG